RNAcentral lists this unclassified non-coding RNA (387 nucleotides) under soil metagenome. Its description in RNAcentral is "partial contains 5.8S ribosomal RNA, internal transcribed spacer 2, and large subunit ribosomal RNA". The stretch from base 1 to 120 matches the Rfam family "5.8S ribosomal RNA", at positions 35 to 154 of the family's 154-position model. The record is from RNAcentral.
GAUGAAGAACGUAGCGAAAUGCGAUAAGUAAUGUGAAUUGCAGAAUUCAGUGAAUCAUCGAAUCUUUGAACGCACCUUGCGCUCCUUGGUAUUCCGAGGAGCAUGCCUGUUUGAGUGUCAUGAAAUUCUCAACCUUUUCAGCUUUCUUUGUUGAUCAGGCUUGGAUGUGGGAGUAUGCGGGCUUCUCAGAAGUCGGCUCUCCUGAAAUGCAUUAGCGGGACCUUUGUUGCCUGGCUCUGGUGUGAUAAUUAUCUACGCCAUUGUAGUCAAGCAGCUUAAAAUGAGGUUUCAGCUUCUAACCGUCUCCCCUGAGACAACUUUUUGACAAUUUGACCUCAAAUCAGGUAGGACUACCCGCUGAACUUAAGCAUAUCAAUAAGCGGAGGA